Molecule: ribosomal RNA, 497 nt
Filed under: uncultured bacterium
Lineage: Bacteria
Description: partial 16S ribosomal RNA
Rfam family: Bacterial small subunit ribosomal RNA
Source: RNAcentral
GGUGAACGCUGGCGGCGUGCCUAAUACAUGCAAGUCGAGCGAACAGACGAGGAGCUUGCUCCUCUGACGUUAGCGGCGGACGGGUGAGUAACACGUGGAUAACCUACCUAUAAGACUGGGAUAACUUCGGGAAACCGGAGCUAAUACCGGAUAAUAUAUUGAACCGCAUGGUUCAAUAGUGAAAGACGGUUUUGCUGUCACUUAUAGAUGGAUCCGCGCCGCAUUAGCUAGUUGGUAAGGUAACGGCUUACCAAGGCAACGAUGCGUAGCCGACCUGAGAGGGUGAUCGGCCACACUGGAACCGAGACACGGUCCAGACUCCUACGGGAGGCAGCAGUAGGGAAUCUUCCGCAAAGGGCGAAAGCCUGACGGAGCAACGCCGCGUGAGUGAUGAAGGUCUUCGGAUCGUAAAACUCUGUUAUUAGGGAAGAACAAAUGUGUAAGUAACUAUGCACGUCUUGACGGUACCUAAUCAGAAAGCCACGGCUAACUACGUG